CAGAGAUCUGCUUGCCUCUGCCUCCUGAGUGCUGGGAUUAAAGGCAUGUGCACCAAUGCCCAGCAGCCUUGAUUAAUUUUAUUUCAGUUAUUGAAUAGGACAUCAUUAGAAGACUGUCUUCAUACACUCUGGCCAUCUGGACAAGAUAUUACGCAGUUACAUAUGCUUUCACUAGGUAGCCAUGGAGCUUGGAACUUCUGAUCUCCCUUCCUCAAUUCCCUCCUACCAUAACCUCAGGAUUGCAGGGAAUAGUUGGAAAGGAGAGAAGAGUCAUCAGGCAAUUGGUGGAGCCCAACAGCUGGGCUGUGACGUAAUGGAGAAGGACAACUGAACAGUCGGGAAACGAGACAAAGAACUCUGCUGAAGCCACCACCAUCCCAGGGUAGCAGCACAUGCCAGAGGCUUCACACAGUGGAGUCAUAGCAAGGAUAAGAUUCAUUAAGACUAGAGCCAAGCCAGUGAACAGGUAAGAGAGGAAAAGCCCCGUAAAGGUAAGAGAGGCUGGUAUCUUGAAAUUCUCUUGUAAUCUAAUUGACUUAAAACAUCUUGUUUACAAAAGGACAAGGAAGGAGUGGGAGAGGGAGGAACAAGGGAAAACUAACAAACAAGUAAAGAUGCAACCAGGUGAAACAUUGUGGCUCACACACAGAAAACACAUAACACAACUGGAAACUAAGGAGCCUAAAUGUCAAAUUUUACAGCUACUGCAAAAGCAGCCAUUAUAAAUGCUCUUUUUAAAUGAAUGAAACAAUGCCUAAGUAAACUAAUCAAAAUCUCUCAUCAGCCUAUGUAGGUACCUAGACAAAAUUUAAAGACAUUAACCAAAUAGACACUCUAUGGUAGAGGAGUCUGAUGGAGGUGAAAGUCCCAGGAGAGAUGAAGGCCGGAUUAUUUUUAAUAUACCUCUGUAUAUCUAUAGAGACAGAGUCUAGUGGUAAAGAAUUUGCAACAUAGAG
RNAcentral lists this long non-coding RNA (956 nucleotides) under Cricetulus griseus (Chinese hamster). RNAcentral describes it as "lncRNA (ENSCGRG00015037188.1)". The record is from RNAcentral. Lineage: Eukaryota; Metazoa; Chordata; Mammalia; Rodentia; Cricetidae.